GGAGAGAUAGCUCAGUGGUUAAGAGCACUGACUGCUCUUCCAGAGGUCCUGAGUUCAAUUCCCAGUGGCUCAA
Molecule: transfer RNA, 73 nt
Filed under: Mus musculus (house mouse)
Lineage: Eukaryota; Metazoa; Chordata; Mammalia; Rodentia; Muridae
Also listed under: 1 other name
Rfam family: tRNA
About the family: Transfer RNA (tRNA) molecules are approximately 80 nucleotides in length. Their secondary structure includes four short double-helical elements and three loops (D, anti-codon, and T loops).
Source: Rfam by way of RNAcentral